ACAACACAACUUUAGACACAAAUUAAAAUAAUACAAGCUUUAUAUUACAAGCCAGGGGCCUCGAGGGCUCGAAUACAUACCUCAAUACAGUAAGAGUUAGUGGAAGCAACAAUAUCUGAGUACAUACAUAAGUUAAACAAGGAUGCCUUAAGAAGGCUAGCACAAAAGCAACAUGAUGAUCAAAGAGGCAACGCCUCCUGCCUGGGACCUCCUAACUACUCCUGGUCAUUGCCGGUCUCCACGUAGUAGUAGGCACCCUCAGGGUAGUAGUAGAUGUCGGCGGUUGCAUCUGGCUCCCGGGAUCCACCAUCUGAUUGUAGCAACUAGGUAUAUGGGGAAAAGGAGGUAGCAAAGAAACCAUGAGUACUCAUCCAAAGUACUCGCAUGACUUACAUCAGAACUAUGCUAAGUGUGCAUCGGUAGCAAAUGGAAAGGUUGUAUCUUUUGGACUGAACUACAGAAUGCCAAAUGAGAGGGGAAACCCUAGCCUCUUGAAGACUAGCAUCUUCAAGCAUCUUGCAGCAUUCAGAAGAGUAUAGAAUAUCAUUUUCACAUUUAACAUGCAUGUUGUAAUAAUAAUGCCUAGACAUCCUUCCUCGACUCCCUGCGAGGAAGCAAUCCUGGAGCCAACAUAUCCAUCACAUAUCUCAAGUAACCAUUUCUAGUUGUAAUAGAUCAGGAUACCAUUUCGAGCGUCCAUUACCAUGGACACGGUAUUCGAAUAGAUAACUUCCUUGCAGGGUGCACCACAUUACCCAACAUGCUUGAUUACUCUAUCCAGACACACUCUCUUGGGUUGAUGCCCAACCUCGGAAGAUCAACAUGUUGUAGCCCUACCUAGGCUCAGCAAAGAGGUCCCCGUUGGUCUACAUCCUAAGUGCUCCGGGGUCUUGGGCCCAUCACCCAUUGCACUCCGGGUCGUUGUGUGUAGGGUGAAUACCAGCACCACCCCUAUAGUGGCACGAUCCGACCGUGCCACAAUGCUGAACUAGACGUCUGACAAAGCUUCGGCUGAUACUGCCACGCCGAGUGCCCAUAACUGUUCCCGCGUGGUGGUUAGUGCGUAAAGGCUAGUGGCCUACUCAGAACAAAUACCCAAACCCUUAGUGUAUUAGGAGCUCGCGGAGACGAGCAGAGACUCACGAUAAUAUGACCACGUCGCCCCAUCCGAGGAAAUAUAGCAAGGGCCUGGCUCAACCCUCUCUCUCUAGGGCGGUCUACCUGCCCGGCCAUGCCUCAUAAUUAUCUCGCGGGUGCUCUCUGGGCCCGCCCGACUUUCGCAUCAACUCACGGGUACCCAUUAGGGCCGACACGACUAACUAGAGACUGCUUUGAACUUAGGUCCACCUCUACCGGGAUGGUACCACCGGUCCCUUCAGUCCCGUAGUAAUAGAGCAUGGGUGGUAUAGGUAAAAGUAAUUGUGUGUUUGUAUCAUCAAGUUGGAAACCCGAGGAAUCACCCUCGAUGGAAUCCACUCGAUGUAAUCAUCAAGAUGAACUUAGGAGGAAUCACCCUCGAGGUUCACACUUGAGGUGUUGCACGACAGAGUCAUACCGGGAGUGGUGAAGGAGGAAUCGCCCUCGAUGACCACGACCGAAAUGCUACACUACAGAGUUAACAUCAGCAGUGCGUUACGAGGUAUCACCCUCAUCACUCGAUAGUAGCUCUGCAGAGUCGAGCAACAAAGGGGGUGUGAUGUGAUGUAUCAGGCUCUAGACGUCGAUCACGUUGAUUGAGUCAUCUGUCAUCAAGCCAAGGCAACUGGGGCAAGGUGAGGGGUCACUGAUGGAUCACUAACCAACCUAUACGAAGCAGUUUAGGAUAAGCAUGUUAGGUACAAUGAGCAGGUUACAAAAGUAGGCUAUGCAUAAAAAUAGGAGCAAUCAAUAACAGUAGCAAAAUCUAAUGCAAGCAUGAGAGAGAAUGGAAUGGGUGAUAUCGGAAUGGUCAAGGGGGUUUGCUUGCUUGGUUGCUCAGACGAGAAGGAUGGGUUGUCAUCUAUGGAGUCGAUCAUAGGGGUAGCGUCAGUCUCAGGGUCUACCGGAAAUAAGAUGGGGAAUACACAGUAAAUACAAAGCACACAAAUGCGUUACUAAGUAUGACAUGAUGAUAUGCGGUGCUAGGGAUGUUCUAACGUAGGGCUACACGAUUCUGGUGAAGGGGGAAAACAUCCGGCAAUGUUUUCCCGGUGUUUGGCAUUUUUGGACAAAUGAACCGAAGGGGGAAGGUUGCACGUGCACUUUGCUAGGGACGUGUGGUAGACGAAAGGAGUGCGUAUUCGGACUCAUUGGAUUUUUCUGAGCAACUUUCAUGUAUAAAUUAUUGUCAUCCGUUAUACGGUUUAAUUUAUAUGAAUUGUUGAAGUUUUAUUUUUUUUGAAAUUAAUAUUAAAUCUAAAAUGGAGUUAUUGCACCACAUGACCUCAUCAUGACGUCAUCAGUCAACUGAGUUGACUAAGGUCAACCCUGACGUGUGGGGUCGUUCUGUCAUAGACUGAUAACUAAUUAACAACUAGUUGGAGGUUAAUUAAAUUUAAUUAGUUAAAUAAUUAGACUUAAUUAAGUUAAUUGAUUAUUUAAUUAUUUAUUCUUAUUAGUAUCACAAUUAUUAUUUUUACACUUCUCUUUUUUGUUCAAAAACAGGCAUGGGCCCCGGUUGUCAUUGGCCUAGGGCGAACCGGGAGUGGGCUGAUGGGCGCCCGGCCUAACGGGCGCUGGAAUGAAGGCGAAGGCCGAGUGGGAAGGAACCAGGCGACGACCACACUAGCGGGCGCCGGUGGCGGCGGCAAAGGGUUCCUGUGGCUAGGGGCGGAGAGGCGCCACUAGGAGCACGCAACUACGGGGCGAGUGGGGAGGGGAGUACGGCGGCAGUGGUGAGCUGUGCGAAGGCGGCGGCGGUGGCCAGGAGAGGCUGGGAGGGGUCAGAAGGCAAUGGGCGGCGCCGGCAGAGGGCGGCCCGUGGGGCAGGUGAGCGGAUGCAGCCGGAGCAAGGGGGCUACAGGGGGGCAGCGACAAGUGCAGAUGGGGCGCGCAGGAUCUGGCGCAGGGGGAGGCUACAUGCGAUGUGCACGACGGUGGUGUAGAGGAGGGAAGGAGCAUCGACGGUCGAGGCAGGGCAGGGGACAGGCGCGAAGCCAGGCCAGUCGUGGGCACGGUCGGAUGGGCGCGAUGCGUGCGUGACCCUGACCCAAGGCUCGAGCUUAGCGGGAGCAAGGUGAGGCGGGGAAGUAAGGGGGAGGGGGCGCGCGCGGACUGCGAGGCGACGAGCGCGGUGUUCGCAAAGACCACGGGAGAGAGGAGGCGGAGGGAACGCUCACCCCCGUUUGUAGUUGAACUGGCGGUGAGGCUCAACGGAGCUGUCGAGGGAGAGGUGGGGAGGUGAGGUGACGGUGGC
Molecule: long non-coding RNA, 3394 nt
Filed under: Triticum aestivum (bread wheat)
Lineage: Eukaryota; Viridiplantae; Streptophyta; Magnoliopsida; Poales; Poaceae
Description: long non-coding RNA (TAES_LNC001571)
Source: RNAcentral